UGGGGUGUAGCUCAGUGGUAUAAGAGCAUUUGAGUAACAUUCAUGAGGCCCUGGUUUCCACCCCAGCACUGCAA
RNAcentral lists this transfer RNA (74 nucleotides) under Heterocephalus glaber (naked mole-rat). It matches the Rfam family "tRNA". From Rfam's summary of the family: Transfer RNA (tRNA) molecules are approximately 80 nucleotides in length. The record is from Rfam by way of RNAcentral. Lineage: Eukaryota; Metazoa; Chordata; Mammalia; Rodentia; Bathyergidae.